GAUUAUUGAAAGGUGCUUGCAUCUUGAUUUAAUUUUGAACGAGUGGCGGACGGGUGAGUAACACGUGGGUAACCUGCCCUUAAGUGGGGGAUAACAUUUGGAAACAGAUGCUAAUACCGCAUAAAUCCAAGAACCGCAUGGUUCUUGGCUGAAAGAUGGCGUAAGCUAUCGCUUUUGGAUGGACCCGCGGCGUAUUAGCUAGUUGGUGAGGUAACGGCUCACCAAGGCAAUGAUACGUAGCCGAACUGAGAGGUUGAUCGGCCACAUUGGGACUGAGACACGGCCCAAACUCCUACGGGAGGCAGCAGUAGGGAAUCUUCCACAAUGGACGCAAGUCUGAUGGAGCAACGCCGCGUGAGUGAAGAAGGCUUUCGGGUCGUAAAACUCUGUUGUUGGAGAAGAAUGGUCGGCAGAGUAACUGUUGUCGGCGUGACGGUAUCCAACCAGAAAGCCACGGCUAACUACGUGCCAGCAGCCGCGGUAAUACGUAGGUGGCAAGCGUUAUCCGGAUUUAUUGGGCGUAAAGCGAGCGCAGGCGGUUUUUUAAGUCUGAUGUGAAAGCCCUCGGCUUAACCGAGGAAGUGCAUCGGAAACUGGGAAACUUGAGUGCAGAAGAGGACAGUGGAACUCCAUGUGUAGCGGUGAAAUGCGUAGAUAUAUGGAAGAACACCAGUGGCGAAGGCGGCUGUCUGGUCUGUAACUGACGCUGAGGCUCGAAAGCAUGGGUAGCGAACAGGAUUAGAUACCCUGGUAGUCCAUGCCGUAAACGAUGAAUGCUAGGUGUUGGAGGGUUUCCGCCCUUCAGUGCCGCAGCUAACGCAUUAAGCAUUCCGCCUGGGGAGUACGACCGCAAGGUUGAAACUCAAAGGAAUUGACGGGGGCCCGCACAAGCGGUGGAGCAUGUGGUUUAAU
This 912-nucleotide ribosomal RNA is filed under the name Lacticaseibacillus sp. RNAcentral's name for it is "bacterial SSU rRNA". It matches the Rfam family "Bacterial small subunit ribosomal RNA", at positions 57 to 950 of the family's 1533-position model. Lineage: Bacteria; Bacillati; Bacillota; Bacilli; Lactobacillales; Lactobacillaceae. The record is from RNAcentral.